GGGGAUUUAGCUCAGUGGUAGAGUGCUUGCCUAGCAAGCACAAGGCCCUGAGUUCAGUCCCCA
Rattus norvegicus (Norway rat) is the source of this 63-nucleotide non-coding RNA. The record is from Rfam. NCBI's taxonomy places the organism in Eukaryota, Metazoa, Chordata, Mammalia, Rodentia, Muridae.